AUCCCAUGAUGAGGACAAUCUAAAAUGUAUUCUUGAAAAUGUUCUCAUGGCUCUGGAAUGGUUUCUCCUUUCUGUUGCUGAAAGUUACAAAUAUUUUCUCUUAAGGC
This 107-nucleotide small nucleolar RNA is filed under the name Sorghum bicolor (sorghum). RNAcentral's name for it is "Plant small nucleolar RNA R71". It matches the Rfam family "Plant small nucleolar RNA R71". Rfam says of the family: R71 is a member of the C/D box family of snoRNAs containing the C (UGAUGA) and D (CUGA) box motifs. Multiple nearly identical copies of this snoRNA have been identified in Arabidopsis, and it is thought to function as a 2'-O-ribose methylation guide for 18S ribosomal RNA. The record is from Rfam by way of RNAcentral. Lineage: Eukaryota; Viridiplantae; Streptophyta; Magnoliopsida; Poales; Poaceae.